RNAcentral lists this ribosomal RNA (394 nucleotides) under uncultured eukaryote. RNAcentral's name for it is "SSU rRNA". It matches the Rfam family "Eukaryotic small subunit ribosomal RNA", at positions 587 to 972 of the family's 1831-position model. The record is from RNAcentral.
AGCUCCAAUAGCGUAUAUUAAAGUUGUUGCAGUUAAAAAGCUCGUAGUUGGAUUUCUGUUUUGGAUGUCCGGUCCGCUUCCUCUGGGAGUGUGUACUUAUGGAUGUUCGAGGCAUUUUUUGUGAGGCUGCCUCUCUGCCAUUAAGUUGGUGGGUUGGUGGGCUUGCAUCGUUUACUGUGAAAAAAUUAGAGUGUUUAAAGCAGGCGUUAGCUCAUUUGAAUACAUUAGCAUGGAAUAAUAAGAUACGGCUUUGGUGGUCUAUUUUGUUGGUUUGCACACCAGAGUAAUGAUUAAUAGGGACAGUUGGGGGUAUUCAUAUUUCAGCGUCAGAGGUGAAAUUCUUGGAUCGCUGAAAGAUGAGCUUAGGCGAAAGCAUUUACCAAGGAUGUUUUCA